GGGGAAGUUAAGAAAAGCUGUAUCGAUUGUUGAGAUCUGGCGACUUGCUUAAAUUUCAUCAGCCUCACUUCUAUGGACUCUCAGGCCUCACGUGUACCAGCUCUCUGCUCUCCUUUGCCUUGGGACGUUCCAUCCCUGGAAGUUUCCCUGCCCACAUCUUUGUAGAGAGUCCAUUCUCCAAGCUUCAGUGUGUCAUCUGUUAGGACUAUGACCCACCUGGUACAUUACCUCAGGGCAUUCAUUUCAGGCUCCUUCUAAGUGGUCAAGUUUUCAAGAUUGUUUUGGCUCUAGCAAAACAAGUUGGAACAUUCACAUCAUCCAAGAAAACACCAACAUUUUUGUAAUGGCCUGCAAGGCCUUCCAAGAUCUGCCUCCUGCAACUCAGCUUCUCCUGUGCUCUUCUUCUGGACUCACUCUGCCUCAGCAACGCUGGUCCCUGUUGCCCCACCAAUAUGCCAGGUAAACCUCAGGUUCUCCUCCUGCCUUUUGCUAAGUAUAUGUCUUGAUGACAAGCCUUCUGCUAAUGAGCUGUGUUUCUGGACCGAUCAUGGUAGAAGUCAAUUGAAGUGUCCCUCACUUGGGGUUUCUUAAGGCUGCACUGAUGAGGAAACUGAAACAGAAAAUCCAGAGUAAAUUCCACCAGGCCACACAGCAAGGUCUGAUAGAGCCAGGAGAGACUUUAUGAAAUCCAGACUCUCACACUAAUGCUCUAUCAGCUAGACCUCCAUGUGAGUCUCCCCAAUGUAGGUAGGAAGCACUUUCC
RNAcentral lists this long non-coding RNA (763 nucleotides) under Pongo abelii (Sumatran orangutan). RNAcentral describes it as "lincRNA". Lineage: Eukaryota; Metazoa; Chordata; Mammalia; Primates; Hominidae. The record is from RNAcentral.